UACGAAGGGGGGCUAGCGUUGCUCGGAAUGACUGGGCGUAAAGGGCGCGUAGGCGGCUCAUACAGUCAGGCGUGAAAUUCCUGGGCUCAACCUGGGGGACUGCGCUUGAGACGUGUGGGCUUGAGUGGGGAAGAGGGUCGUGGAAUUCCCAGUGUAGAGGUGAAAUUCGUAGAUAUUGGGAAGAACACCAGUGGCGAAGGCGGCUCACUGGACCGGUAUUGACGCUGAGGUGCGAAAGCGUGGGGAGCAAACAGG
RNAcentral lists this ribosomal RNA (255 nucleotides) under uncultured bacterium. Its description in RNAcentral is "partial 16S ribosomal RNA". It matches the Rfam family "Bacterial small subunit ribosomal RNA", at positions 524 to 776 of the family's 1533-position model. The record is from RNAcentral.